AUACGGAGGAUGCGAGCGUUAUCCGGAUUUAUUGGGUUUAAAGGGUGCGUAGGCUGUGCGUUAAGUCAGGGGUGAAAUGCCGUCGCUCAACGACGGAGCUGCCCUUGAUACUGGCGUGCUGGAGUACGGAUGCCGUUGGAGGAAUGAGUGGUGUAGCGGUGAAACGCUUAGAUAUCACUCAGAACACCGAUUGCGAAGGCAUCGGACGAAUCCGUCACUGACGCUGGGGCACGAAGGCGUGGGGAUAGAACAGGAUUAGAUACCCUGUUAUUCCACGCCGUAAACGAUGAUGACUAACCGUCGGCGAUAGACAGCCGGUGGCCAAGCGAAAGCGAUAAGUCAUCCACCUGGGGAGUACGUCGGCAUCGAUGAAACUCAAAUGAAUUGGCGGG
RNAcentral lists this ribosomal RNA (392 nucleotides) under uncultured bacterium. Its description in RNAcentral is "partial 16S ribosomal RNA". It matches the Rfam family "Bacterial small subunit ribosomal RNA", at positions 523 to 917 of the family's 1533-position model. The record is from RNAcentral.